CCCUACCCUACCCGCCGCCUCGGUAGCACGGCCGCUCCUUGGCUGGGGCUCUCGGCGGGGCUCGCAGGAGACUCCUAUCAUCAGGAAGCGCCGCUCCGCCCGGCACCGGUCAUAUCGGAUUAAUGCUGUGGAUCGGUCAACCCAGAACAUGUAGUUGCCCAUCAAUCGCUCAGUAGUCAGUGUAGAUUCUGUCUUUACAAUCAGCAGCUACAUCUGGCUACUGGGUCUCUGAUGACAUCUCCUAUCUUCUAUCUAGACUUUUUGUUGGAUUUUUGUCUUCUCUCCUGGGUGCAGAGCAAGUUCACAGAGUUAACAAGUUAAUGCCUGAGGUGUGGCCCCAAAUAAAAGAUGGGAUAUCUGUUGGAUCUACCUCACUGUGAGAACUGGAUUAAAUACAGAUGGAUGUUGUGUUGGAAACCAACAGUCUUUUCUAUAGCCUAAUGCUGGGGCUUGUUAUAGUCCAAAUUGAUGAGACUAUUUGCAGACUUGAGCUAAGAAGACAGCUGGACUUCACUCUUUUUCAAUGAAGAAUCUUUAACCUCUCCUGAAAAGGAUAGGUGUUGAAACAGGCACUUUGGCUUAUUGUGUAACUGCCUCUCAUUAGGAGAGGAAAUGCACUGGGAUGUGCACAAAUGUACUGUGAUGUGCACAGGUGGUUCUCGUUUUCGUUUUUUUUUCCCCUCUUGUCAGUUGUAUGAGAAGACUGUCCAGGUUUGGGGCAUGAACCUGGCAUACAAUGUAGAUUUCUGUGUUUGUUAAGCAACAGCUACAUUGUCUGCUGGGUUUCCAGCUGCCUGGAAAUACGAAGUGGAGGGUUAUCUACGCACUUUUUGGGUUUUUCGGUUUGUUUGUUGUUUUUUUUUUUCCCUUUGGUCAAGUUACCUCCCUUACAUCUCUGAAGAAGACAAUGCAGUAGACAUCCAAUUGCUGCCUUCCCCAGUGAUCCAGCCAAUGUCAACUAGAGCUCAGAGCCAGGGUAGGUCUGAAACUAGUUAAGAAAAAAAAGUUCAAGGGAUUGAAGUGUUCAGCCACCUGAGUGUGAGUAGCUGUCAGGCAGCAGUUAAUGACUGCUGUCUGUGUAACCAUUAGUUUGCCUUUUAGUUCAGAUGGAGAGCUAAGUGUGUGUGCUGUACAGUUAGGGAAAUUCUUUUUGGAGAAGAAAGUGAGGAGCUAUUUAUAGGUAUGAUUUUUUUUUUAAUGUGCUACACAUAGUAUGGCUUAUAUACAGGAAGUGAUUAGAAAUAACGGGAGGAGUAAGAUAAUGGCUUGAGUGCUGAUACCAGCUGGAUCUCUUGUUUCUUGAGCAGCACUAAAACCUGUGGGCUUCAUUUGUGCACCAUAUCCAGCCAUACAGCAAUGAAGCAGGCAGCUUCAGUUUGAGAAGAUUAGGCCUGGAAUAGCUGGGGAGUGUUGUCCUUUCAGAUCUGGACUGCAAUCACAGUAUUAAAGGGGGAAGCUUGUACAGUGAUGUCUGUAUGGUAACCCUUCAUUGGCAAGCUCUGUUCCAUUUGUACUACACCAUGGAAAUUGGGAGAGUAGUGAUAACCUCUCAGAAUGAAGCAGUGUGUGAUUUGGCUAAGCUUGUCUGUCAUUCUGGGCUAUACAUGGGUGGUUUUAGAUCAGCAGGCAUCCAGAACUCUUCAAGGGCAACACUUCAGAAGGCAUAAGUGUUCCUAAUUGAAUGCUGCUGUUUAAAAACUGUGCUUUUGUUAAAACAAAUAAAACUUCUUGUGCAGAGAA
Long non-coding RNA from Pezoporus occidentalis (night parrot), 1740 nucleotides. RefSeq lists it as uncharacterized. NCBI's taxonomy places the organism in Eukaryota, Metazoa, Chordata, Aves, Psittaciformes, Psittacidae. The record is from RefSeq and is a predicted model, not a curated record. The transcript is spliced from 2 exons.